GACAGAGGGUGCAAACGUUGUUCGGAAUUACUGGGCGUAAAGCGCGUGUAGGCGGCUAAGUAAGUCGGGCGUGAAAUCCCACGGCUCAACCGUGGAAGUGCACUCGAAACUGCGUAGCUAGAGUCCUGGAGAGGAAGGUGGAAUGCUUGGUGUAGAGGUGAAAUUCGUAGAUAUCAGGCGGAACACCGGUGGCGAAGGCGGCCUUCUGGACAGUGACUGACGCUGAGACGCGAAAGCGUGGGGAGCAAACAGG
Molecule: ribosomal RNA, 253 nt
Filed under: uncultured bacterium
Lineage: Bacteria
Description: partial 16S ribosomal RNA
Rfam family: Bacterial small subunit ribosomal RNA
Source: RNAcentral